AUUCAGCUGACGAGUCCCAAAUAGGACGAAACACGCGUCGCGAAU
Molecule: non-coding RNA, 45 nt
Filed under: Schistosoma haematobium
Lineage: Eukaryota; Metazoa; Platyhelminthes; Trematoda; Strigeidida; Schistosomatidae
Source: RNAcentral